AAUUUUUCUCAAUGGGGGAAACCCUGAAGGAGCGACGCCGCGUGGAGGAUGAAGGUCUUCGGAUUGUAAACUCCUGUCAUUGGGGAACAAUGCGUAAAUAUUAACUGUAUUUGCGUUGAUAGUACCCGAAGAGGAAGAGACGGCUAACUCUGUGCCAGCAGCCGCGGUAAUACAGAGGUCUCAAGCGUUGUUCGGAUUCAUUGGGCGUAAAGGGUGCGUAGGCGGCGCGGUAAGUCGGGUGUGAAAUCUCGGAGCUUAACUCCGAAACUGCAUUCGAUACUGCCGUGCUUGAGGACUGGAGAGGAGACUGGAAUUUACGGUGUAGCGGUGAAAUGCGUAGAUAUCGUAAGGAAGACCAGUGGCGAAGGCGGGUCUCUGGACAGUUCCUGACGCUGAGGCACGAAGGCCAGGGGAGCAA
RNAcentral lists this ribosomal RNA (418 nucleotides) under uncultured Chthoniobacteraceae bacterium. RNAcentral describes it as "bacterial SSU rRNA". It matches the Rfam family "Bacterial small subunit ribosomal RNA", at positions 360 to 771 of the family's 1533-position model. Lineage: Bacteria; Pseudomonadati; Verrucomicrobiota; Spartobacteria; Chthoniobacterales; Chthoniobacteraceae. The record is from RNAcentral.